Molecule: ribosomal RNA, 497 nt
Filed under: uncultured bacterium
Lineage: Bacteria
Description: partial 16S ribosomal RNA
Rfam family: Bacterial small subunit ribosomal RNA
Source: RNAcentral
GAUGAACGCUGGCGGCGUGCCUAAUACAUGCAAGUCGAGCGAACAGACGAGGAGCUUGCUCCUCUGACGUUAGCGGCGGACGGGUGAGUAACACGUGGAUAACCUACCUAUAAGACUGGGAUAACUUCGGGAAACCGGAGCUAAUACCGGAUAAUAUAUUGAACCGCAUGGUUCAAUAGUGAAAGACGGUUUUGCUGUCACUUAUAGAUGGAUCCGCGCCGCAUUAGCUAGUUGGUAAGGUAACGGCUUACCAAGGCAACGAUGCGUAGCCGACCUGAGAGGGUGAUCGGCCACACUGGAACUUAGGCACGGUCCAGACUCCUACGGGAGGCAGCAGUAGGGAAUCUUCCGCAAUGGGCGAAAGCCUGACGGAGCAACGCCGCGUGAGUGAUGAAGGUCUUCGGAUCGUAAAACUCUGUUAUGAGGGAAGAACAAAUGUGUAAGUAACUAUGCACGUCUUGACGGUACCUAAUCAGAAAGCCACGGCUAACUACGUG